Molecule: ribosomal RNA, 274 nt
Filed under: uncultured bacterium
Lineage: Bacteria
Description: partial 16S ribosomal RNA
Rfam family: Bacterial small subunit ribosomal RNA
Source: RNAcentral
AUACGGAGGGGGCAAGCGUUGUUCGGAAUUAUUGGGCGUAAAGGGCGCGUAGGCGGCACUGUAAGUCGGUUGUGAAAUCCCUUGGCUCAACCAAUGAACUGCAACCGAAACUACAGAGCUAGAGUCCGGGAGAGGGUAGUGGAAUUCCCAGUGUAGCGGUGAAAUGCGUAGAUAUUGGGAGGAACACCAGUGGCGAAGGCGGCUACCUGGACCGGUACUGACGCUGAGGCGCGAAAGCUAGGGGAGCAAACAGGAUUAGAAACCCCGGUAGUCC